Molecule: ribosomal RNA, 304 nt
Filed under: uncultured bacterium
Lineage: Bacteria
Description: partial 16S ribosomal RNA
Rfam family: Bacterial small subunit ribosomal RNA
Source: RNAcentral
CAGCAGUCGCCACGGUAACACGAAGGGGGCUAGCGUUGUUCGGAUUUACUGGGCGUAAAGCGCACGUAGGCGGACUUUUAAGUCAGGGGUGAAAUCCCGGGGCUCAACCCCGGAACUGCCUUUGAUACUGGAAGUCUUGAGUAUGGUAGAGGUGAGUGGAAUUCCGAGUGUAGAGGUGAAAUUCGUAGAUAUUCGGAGGAACACCAGUGGCGAAGGCGGCUCACUGGACCAUUACUGACGCUGAGGUGCGAAAGCGUGGGGAGCAAACAGGAUUAGAUACCCCCGUAGUCCCUGUCUCUUAUAC